Camellia sinensis is the source of this 658-nucleotide long non-coding RNA. RefSeq lists it as uncharacterized. The record is from RefSeq and is a predicted model, not a curated record. Lineage: Eukaryota; Viridiplantae; Streptophyta; Magnoliopsida; Ericales; Theaceae.
AGCGUGGGAUCACGAACAUUAGCCGGACAAUAAAAGCUGGGGAAAAGGGGUUUGAACAGAAAUGUGAGAUCGAAGGAGAGCGAUAGAGAAAGAGAAAUCGAAAGCGAGAGAGAUCCGGCGAAGGGCGUCGGAUUUCGUCCAUUUGUUCUUCGCUCUCUUAAUCGGACGGUGGAAAGAUGAAGGGCUCCUGUACUCUCGUGGCAUCCAUGCUCGCCGCAUCUACCGUGGCUCUCACAUCCUCUUCCUCUUCCUCCACCUCUCCCGACCGUGAUCUCUCCUUCAAUCCUUGCUUCAUUGAGAUGCAUUCUUCUUCUUCGUCAUCGUCAUUUUCGGACAAGGGUGGAGUUAGCGAUUCGCUUUUGUCAUCGUCGGGUAAGGAUAAAUUCGCUCCAAGAUUUGACGGCUUGAGAUUCAUUGAGACGUUGGUGACCGCACACAGGUGACGAUGGACGAUGCACAGACCUAGAUCUUAUGUCGCCCUUUGAAAUUGUUGUAAGAUUCAAAAACAAGAGUAGACCUAUUUAUUCAUUGAAACUGUUGUUGUUAAUUUCGGUCAUUAUCGUCUAAUCGCUGAUGGAUUUUAUUAUUGGUUUGUUUUGUUUACUCAAUUUUUCAUCUCAGUGGGAAACUUAAAAUAUAUUUACGCGUUAGUGAAAAA